AUGGAAAAAAUCAUAAAACCCCAAUUUUUUCCCAAAUAAUACAUGCAAACUGAUUUAUUUUCUAACCAUGAUGUAGGUUAGAUGUAUGUAUGCAAUAAUUAAACCGAUAAACACAUUAAUGAAACAUGUAUACUAUUUGUUAAUAAUGAAUACUUUUAUUGGAGCUGGGUUUAAACCAAAGGUCUUUAGAAAACCAGAAAAUGAGUUACCAUGGUGAUCUAACGAGCUGAGAGCCAUUAUUGUGACACUGUAAACUCUGACCUUCUACUUGUUACAACUCAAGAACAGUUCAGAGUUCAGUACUUGCUGUGAUCCGUAGUGUUGCUGUCAGAGGUCUCAGGUUGUGACUGUGUCUGCUGAAGUAUAGGUGGUAGACAUGGAGUCCAACGUGUUCUUCUGCAUAAUGCGUGUCCAUGACGUGCAGUAUAACGCGCUAUUAAUGUUUGUUUUUCUCCUCUUUCUUUUUCAUUCACACAGAGCUCAGAGUGAGGCCUGGACAAGCUGCCACUCUUCAGUGUUGGGGUCCCAGAGAUGCACACAUCACCCUGCUGGAGUGGAGCAGACCGGAGCUCAUCUCACAGGGUUAUGUGUUCUUCUUCCAAGACCAGCGCUCGUACGAGAACUACCAGCACGAGUCCUUCAAAGGCCGAGUGCAGCUGAGAGACUCAUCCAUGAUGGAUGGAGAUGUUACUGUGAUUGUGAGGAACGUCAGGGUCAGUGAUACGGGAAUAUACAAGUGUGAGAUUACAACCAGCAGCACCAGAAAUGACGAGAGAGUCGUCAGCGAGUUCAAGCACUCCAUCAACCUCACAGUCACAGACACAGGUUUCACAGAAGGAGAGUCCAAAGAAAGAGGACACAAGGAUGGAGGAGACAAGAAUCUAUCUUUUUUAAAUUUUGUGUUAAUUCUGUCAUGCGGACUCCUUGGUGUUAUGGUUAUUGUUACUGUAGCUGUAAAUAUCUACAGGAAAAAAAGUUUCUAAAGCUAUGUGUAUCAUCAUAGUAUCAUCUGUAUGUAGCAUUUCUCUUCUCUGAUCCUGUAAUCACAGUUACAACUUACAACAAUGUCAUGUUAGCAAGCAGACGAUACUAACAAAGUUGCUGUGGAUAUCAGAGUCACAAUAUUUUAUUAACACCUAAGAAAAUUAUAUUAGCACUAACCUCACAAAUGUGCUUCUGGAAGAAUGGUCAAAAUUCCCAACACACUCGUAAACCCUGAUAUGAAUAUCUAUCUAUCUAUCUAUCUAUCUAGCGUGGGAUAGACCCGCUCGCCUCGCAAGCAAUCGAGCUGUUAUUACCGUUGACAAAGCGCAGAAGCACAGACACACAAGACCAGGCGGAAAGAGACGAUCAUUUGGUGAAAAUGAGAAUCUGCAAAUGCAACAUGUGGAACACGGAGAGUGGAAUAUGUAAACAAACCGGUUAACAUAACCCCCCCCCCCAAAAAAAAACAGUUAAGCUGGAACACCGGGGCUGUGGAGAAGGGUCUGGCUGCAGCCAUUGUGGAGCUCCACAGUAACCGGAAACACGUGACCUCCACAGUAACCAGAAACACGUGACCUCCACAGUAGGCAGAAAUACGUUCCUGCGUGGAUCAUCGACUGCGGAAAUCUUGCAAGUGGAUCGUAAAGAUGCUCAUAUCAAUUUGGAGUUCUGCCUCCAAGCCAGAAUUGCAGGAAUGCACAACAUGUUGCAGAAGACUCUUUCACUGCCCUCUGUGCCCCACUUUCAGCCCUACUGUCAAGGCAAAGAUUGAGGAGCAUAUAAAUGGACACAUUAAAAAUGCUUUGCCUUUCAAAAGACAAAAUGAUAUACCGGUGCACUUUCACUGCCCUGUCUGUAACAUGACAGUAAUACAGCAUGGGGAUAUGGCAAGGCAAUUUUUCUCAUGUCAUCAUUCAGGACUGCUCCCCACUGAACUCUCCGAGGAGCCCCAUCUCCCUCUCGAUGUCUUGUCUCCAGUAUCUAAACCAUUUUCUGAAUCUUCAGUAGAACAUUCAUGUGUUCUACCCUCUGUGCUAAAUGAAACUGUGGCUUGUGGAAAGUCCUUGAAAAUGAAACCCCCUCACUGUGGUCUUAGUCUUCUUAAAAAAAACUUCAAGGCUCACAUGAUGAGGAGGCAUUCAAACAGAUCAAUAAAUGUUUGCCUGGCCUGUCAUCUGCAGUGUUUUUGUGUAGAGGGACUUCUUCCUCUUUGUUUUUCAGUUUGCAGAGGACAUGGAGCUCUUUUUAAAAGCUUGUGCUGAUGAGCAGGGACUAUGGGUCAAUGCGAUGUUUGACAUUUAAUGGACAGGUGAAGGCACUGGCUGUUUGUUUGUGUUUUUUAUGUGUUGUUGUUUGUUUUUCAGUGUACAGAAUUCCAGUUAAACGUGUUAUUAAAUAUCCACUUGUUUCCAUGUCCAUACUUAUAGUAAAAAAAUUAAGUGUAAAUGCAACAGCAUUGUUUAUACUUGUAACUUCAGAGUAAAAAGCUUAUUGUUGAUAUUAACAUUAAUAUAUUACCCUGUAAUCAAUAAUAUUUUUAUACAUUUUACGCAUCAACCAUCUGGGCUCUAUCCUGGCCAUUUGUGGCCACUUGACUUCUCUUUUUGUUUUGUUUUUUUGACGACUACACUGCAGUGGACCAAAAGAAUGACAUAGGUUUGAUCUUAAGGAUCUAAUACUUGUGUGUGUUUGUGCAUGACAUUGCAAUGCAAAUAUGUAUUUGCAAGAUAGACUGAAAUAAAUAAUGACGCAUCAAAUAUUA
Molecule: long non-coding RNA, 2746 nt
Organism: Oreochromis niloticus (Nile tilapia)
Lineage: Eukaryota; Metazoa; Chordata; Actinopteri; Cichliformes; Cichlidae
Exons: 5
Source: RefSeq, a predicted model, not a curated record